UAUUUUCCGUACAUUAUUCUUGAUCAGAAUCACCGUAAAAGGAAAGCAGAGUGGCGGAUUCCGAUUGCUCUGUCAGAACUUCAACUAUGGCCUCAUGGAGUUCGUCUAUUUGCUAAGAGGAGGAAUUCGAAGAGAAUGCGUUUGAUAGUCAAUCUCGACUUUCAAUCGACACUGUUAGAGGCGGUUUCCAUCCUGUCGCAGUGCUAUGCCAGCUUAAGCUGCUGCGCCAAGAAUUUGGGUUUUCAAUCUUUCUCCCUAAGAAGGUUGAAGAUUGAUUACUGGAAACUCUGAUGGAGAUGAGAUUUAGUGGAAAGGCAAGAAUUUAAUGGUGCUAUACAGUGGAAGCUACCCUACGGGUGACUUGGAAAGAGAGGAACCUUAGAAUGUCUGAGGAUAAGUUAAGUUCAGAGGAUUCUUUUAUUUAUAGUAUAUAACACAGCCUCGUGGUGGAACUCAGGUCACAAAGAGUUUUAGUAUAAUUAUACCCUUAUCAUGACUAUUAGAAAUUGGAAGGCCUUUUUGGGUUAGUCUUUUGUUGGGAGGAGUUCCCUCUACCCCUUGCCCUUUGGCUAUCUUCUCUUUCUUUUGUGUAUAAUAUCCUUAUCUUAGUUUCUUAUCCCCAAAAAAAAAAAAAAAAAGUCUUGAUUGUCACCUUCUGAUCUAUGCAUAUCAGCUUAUGUGGUGAGUUUUUGCCUCUAAAUGUUGUAGAAUCAAAUUGCACUUAUGAAAUCAGUCGUGUUGCAUAUAAGCCAAUCCAAACACCUAGCCAUUAUAAUAAUGCUAUACAUACAUAAAACACUGUAAUCACGAUGCUGAUAAUAGUUCUAACAUGAUUAUCUCCCUCUUAUUAUUUAUCGAUUUGCAUCAUGCAACUUGUGCUUUGUAGCAAGUGGUGACAUUUCUGUUACCAUUGCCGCUAUUUUGGUUUCUUACAAAAUAAAUUAUGUU
Cucurbita maxima (winter squash) is the source of this 948-nucleotide long non-coding RNA. RefSeq lists it as uncharacterized. NCBI's taxonomy places the organism in Eukaryota, Viridiplantae, Streptophyta, Magnoliopsida, Cucurbitales, Cucurbitaceae. The record is from RefSeq and is a predicted model, not a curated record. The transcript has 3 exons.